This is an RNA transcript of Hevea brasiliensis (rubber tree), 3726 nucleotides long. It is a transcript of the gene named ABC transporter G family member 7, with no coding region annotated. Lineage: Eukaryota; Viridiplantae; Streptophyta; Magnoliopsida; Malpighiales; Euphorbiaceae. The transcript has 13 exons. The record is from RefSeq and is a predicted model, not a curated record.
UAAAUAGUAAUACUUGUUGCUUCAAAAAAAAAUAUAGUUAGUUGCUCAGCUUACUGAGGUUGCAGGAGGAGGAGGUUGGAGAUAGAAGGGAAAUGGUGCGUUUAGGCGGGAAAAUGGUGAGCCAUGUGGUGAAAUUUGGCGGCAACUGUUUCGGCCAGGUUCUGGCUGCUGCCGCGGUGACUCUCCUGCUCCGAUUCUUUUCCGGUCCGGGCCCUGCUUUAUUACCGGAGGAUGAGUUUAGCGACGAUGAGAAGAACGAUGUUUCUGGAGACGAUAAAACUCGAGAGGCUUCGGUCGAUGGGAAAGUUGUUCCGGUUACUAUCCGCUGGAGCAACAUCACGUGUUCUCUCUCUGAUAAAUCCUCUAAACAAGUGCGGUUUCUGCUGAAAAAUGUCAGUGGAGAAGCAAAGCCUGGAAGAUUGCUUGCGAUCAUGGGGCCAUCGGGAUCGGGAAAAACGACUUUGCUCAAUGUUCUGGCGGGGCAGCUAAUGGCAUCUCCUCGUGUGCAUUUAUCAGGUCUUUUAGAGGUCAAUGGGAGGCCUACUUCGAAUAGAGCUUACAAGUUUGCUUAUGUGAGACAGGAGGAUCUUUUCUUCUCGCAGCUGACAGUGAGGGAAACGCUGUCCCUUGCUGCAGAACUUCAACUUCCAGAGAUAUCUUCGGCGGAAGAAAGGGAUGAGUUUGUGAACAAUUUGCUGUUCAAGCUAGGUCUGGUCAGUUGUGCUGAUUCCAUUGUUGGUGAUGCAAAAGUUCGUGGGAUAAGUGGUGGUGAAAAGAAACGUUUAUCAGUGGCCUGUGAACUUAUUGCUAGCCCAUCUGUCAUAUUUACUGAUGAGCCUACAACAGGGCUUGAUGCUUUCCAAGCAGAGAGAGUGAUGGAAACUCUCCGACAACUUGCACAGGCUGGACAUACUGUAAUUUGUUCUAUUCACCAGCCCAGAGGUUCAGUGUACAGUAAAUUUGAUGACAUUGUUUUGCUAACAGAGGGUGCACUUGUUUAUGCUGGUCCUGCACAUGAUGAACCGCUAGCAUACUUCUCAAAAUUUGGGUAUCAUUGCCUAGAUCAUGUCAAUCCAGCAGAAUUUUUGGCUGAUCUCAUAUCUAUUGACUAUAGUUCUGCUGAAAGUGUGUACUCAUCUCAGAAAAGGAUAGAUGGCCUUGUUGAGUCAUUCUCACAACAAUUGUCAAUGAUGCUUUAUGCAACUCCCCUUACCAGAAGGGAGAGCCCUAAGAAUGACAGGAAGUUAAGCAAGAAAACUGUUGUGAAAAGGAAAGAGUCUUGGUGGAGGCAAUUCUGGUUGCUCCUUAAACGUGCAUGGAUGCAAGCUUCUCGAGAUGGGCCAACAAACAAAGUUCGGGCAAGAAUGUCAAUUGCAUCAGCUAUAAUAUUUGGAUCAGUUUUCUGGAGAAUGGGAAGAUCUCAGACAUCAAUACAAGACAGGAUGGGAUUGCUCCAGGUCACAGCAAUAAACACAGCAAUGGCUGCUCUCACAAAAACUGUGGGUGUGUUUCCCAAGGAACGUGCAAUUGUAGAUAGAGAGCGUGCAAAGGGAUCAUAUGCAUUAGGACCAUAUCUGCUUUCUAAAUUGAUAGCUGAGAUUCCUGUUGGAGCUGCAUUUCCAUUAAUGUUUGGUGCUUUAUUGUAUCCCAUGGCACGUCUCCAUCCCACUUUGUCCAGGUUUGGAAAGUUCUGUGGAAUUGUGACAGCAGAAUCAUUUGCUGCAUCUGCUAUGGGUCUAACUGUGGGAGCUAUGGUUCCAACCACUGAAGCAGCAAUGGCACUAGGACCAUCUCUUAUGACAGUUUUUAUUGUAUUUGGGGGGUAUUAUGUUAAUGCAGAUAAUACACCAAUCAUCUUCCGCUGGAUACCUGAUGUUUCUCUGAUAAGAUGGGCCUUUCAAGGGCUUUGCAUCAAUGAAUUUACUGGACUCAAGUUCGAUCGCCAACAUUCAUUUGAUGUUGAAAACGGUGAACAGGCACUCGAGCGACUCUCCUUUGGAGGAAGCCACAUUAAUGAUACGGUGAUAGCUCAAAGUAGAAUUUUGUUAUUUUGGUACUGCACUACUUACCUUCUCCUUGAAAAAAACAAGCCCAAAUACCAACGGCUUGAGCCACCUCCUCUUGAACAAAUCCAACAACAGCUACAGGUUGAGCCCUUGGAACCUGACCAAGUCAAACAACUUAAUCAUUCACUGAAGCAAGAUGAAUCAAACCAGCAGCUUGAAAUCCGACCAUUUAUCUUGGAAGGUGCUAAGUAAAGGAGAUCAUUUCUUUUGCAAUAAAGGAGGUUCUCAUGCCUUUUCUAGCUGCUAUUGUAGAACUUGACAACAAUAAGUUGAUUUACGUAUAUCUCAAACUCAAGCAGCUAAGAAAUCUCUCAUGUAGAAUGUUGCAAUCGAGUCCUAACGCCAUCGAAAUAUGUCAUCUUUCAGUAUAAUUGAAUGUGUGUCACGCUUCUUUUGUGCAGCAUGAUGAACCAUUCUCAUUGAUAUCAAAGUUUCAGUCAUUUUAAAUUUUCAAUGCAUUGACACACAUUGCCUCUUUUUUCUUUUAUGAAACACAAGGGUCAUCAUUGUAAAGUUGUCUCACCUGAAUGGAAUUUCACCAUUUCAACCAACUUUGAUAACAAGUUGUAGUUUUGUACCAUCGGAGAAGUUAACGGCGCGAAUGUAGCUUACAACUUAUGCUUGAUUUCCUUAUGACGCUUUCAACAGAAUAUUUUUCAUGCAGAGAGAGCUUUGUUAUACCAAUUCAACUGGCAUCAUCAAGUUCAGUCAUUUUCACUUUUGACUUUUGCAAUGAGAACAAGAUUGACAAAUUCAAAUAUUCAAAUCAUUUGGGAUAUAUCGAUCGUGUCAUUGCCGUCUUCCUGCUUCGAGAAGAGAAAAAAAUAAUGGGAUACAUUGAUCAUGUCAUUGUCAUAUUUAAAGUUUUAAACGGUCACCGCCAGCCGCCCGAAAAAUGCAAACUCGGCUCUUUCUUGGAGAACAUUCUAACCGGGACAGGGAGAACUGAUACGGCACCCAAUCAAAAUUACGCGUUAGUUUAUGCCACUUUUCGCAACUCUCAACUCUCAUAAAUACGGGGACUUUUUGCCAUAAUCAGAGCACUUACGCAACCCAUUCUCAAAAACUCGUAUUAAAAGCAAUCCUCCAGCCAAAAAAAAGAAAAAAAGCAAUAAUGGAAAAGCCAACCAUCCUACACUCAUCAUCUCUCCCUGUCCCAGCGCACCCAUUUCCUGCCAAAUCGUUGCACUUUUACCAAAAGAUUAGCCUCAAACCUUCCCACAAGAUUAUUUCAGCAUCAAAAAGAGACAGAUUUGGCCGCGAUUAUGAGGGCAAAUCAGUCGACGAAAGCAUGAUCGUUCUUAGAAAGCGUAUACGGGAGAUGAAGUUGACAGAGACAACUUACGAGUACCCUUGCGAGUGGAUGGAAUGGGAGAAGCAAUAUUUUCCAGACUACAAUUCUCAUGUUGCAAGGAUGCAAAAAUGGAGCUUGUUUCCCUCUUCAAAUUCAAGCUUCUAAUAUUUUGAGUGCUUUAAUCUUAUCUUAGGACAACUUGUUUGAUUGAAGUAUUUAGUUGUAUUUGUAACUUUCUAGGCUUAAUGGUGUAAUUUCUAACUUUUUAAAAAUUAGAUGUAAUAUGUUGUAAGUAUUUUUCUUUUUAGUUAUUUUGUAAGAGUAAGACUGUUUAGUAAAUGUUAACAACUAAAAAUUAUUGUGACA